AAAGUGACCCCAGGUCAGGCGGGACUA
RNAcentral lists this ribosomal RNA (27 nucleotides) under Hypericum revolutum. RNAcentral's name for it is "partial 26S ribosomal RNA". The record is from RNAcentral. Lineage: Eukaryota; Viridiplantae; Streptophyta; Magnoliopsida; Malpighiales; Hypericaceae.